CCUACGGGUGGCAGCAGUGGGGAAUAUUGGACAAUGGGCGCAAGCCUGAUCCAGCCAUGCCGCGUGAGUGAUGAAGGCCUUAGGGUUGUAAAGCUCUUUCGGCGGGGAAGCGGUACCCGCAGAAGAAGCCCCGGCUAACUUCGUGCCAGCAGCCGCGGUAAUACGAAGGGGGCUAGCGUUGUUCGGAAUCACUGGGCGUAAAGCGCACGUAGGCGGAUUGUUAAGUCGGAGGUGAAAUCCCAGGGCUCAACCCUGGAACUGCCUUCGAUACUGGCUAUCUCGAGUCCGGGAGAGGUGAGUGGAACUGCGAGUGUAGAGGUGAAAUUCGUAGAUAUUCGCAAGAACACCAGUGGCGAAGGCGGCUCACUGGCCCGGACUGACGCUGAGGUGCGAAGCGUGGGGAGCAACAGGAUUAGAUACCCUAGUAGUC
RNAcentral lists this ribosomal RNA (430 nucleotides) under uncultured bacterium. RNAcentral describes it as "partial 16S ribosomal RNA". It matches the Rfam family "Bacterial small subunit ribosomal RNA", at positions 338 to 795 of the family's 1533-position model. The record is from RNAcentral.